RNAcentral lists this ribosomal RNA (428 nucleotides) under Actinomycetes bacterium. Its description in RNAcentral is "Actinobacteria bacterium partial 16S ribosomal RNA". It matches the Rfam family "Bacterial small subunit ribosomal RNA", at positions 355 to 775 of the family's 1533-position model. The record is from RNAcentral. Lineage: Bacteria; Bacillati; Actinomycetota; Actinomycetes.
UAGGGAAUCUUCCGCAAUGGGCGAAAGCCUGACGGAGCAACGCCGCGUGAGUGAUGAAGGUCUUCGGAUCGUAAAACUCUGUUUUUAGGGAAGAACAAAUGUGUAAGUAACUAUGCACGUCUUGACGGUACCUAAUCAGAAAGCCACGGCUAACUACGUGCCAGCAGCCGCGGUAAUACGUAGGUGGCAAGCGUUAUCCGGAAUUAUUGGGCGUAAAGCGCGCGUAGGCGGUUUUUUAAGUCUGAUGUGAAAGCCCACGGCUCAACCGUGGAGGGUCAUUGGAAACUGGAAAACUUGAGUGCAGAAGAGGAAAGUGAAAUUCCAUGUGUAGCGGUGAAAUGCGCAGAGAUAUGGAGGAACACCAGUGGCGAAGGCGACUUUCUGGUCUGUAACUGACGCUGAUGUGCGAAAGCGUGGGGAUCAAACAG